This 465-nucleotide ribosomal RNA is filed under the name uncultured bacterium. RNAcentral describes it as "partial 16S ribosomal RNA". It matches the Rfam family "Bacterial small subunit ribosomal RNA", at positions 28 to 507 of the family's 1533-position model. The record is from RNAcentral.
GACGAACGCUGGCGGCGUGCUUAACACAUGCAAGUCGAACGGAAAGGCCCUGCUUGCAGGGUACUCGAGUGGCGAACGGGUGAGUAACACGUGGGUGAUCUGCCCUGCACUUCGGGAUAAGCCUGGGAAACUGGGUCUAAUACCGGAUAGGAGCCAUUUUUAGUGUGAUGGUUGGAAAGUUUUUUCGGUGUAGGAUGAGCUCGCGGCCUAUCAGCUUGUUGGUGGGGUAAUGGCCUACCAAGGCGGCGACGGGUAGCCGGCCUGUGGGGGUGGACGGCCACACUGGGACUGAGAGACGGCCCAGACUCCUACGGGAGGAAGAAGUGGGGAAGAUUGCACAAUGGGCGCAAGCCUGAUGCAGAGACGCCGCGUGGGGGAUGACGGCCUUCGGGUUGUAAACUCCUUUCGCUAGGGACGAAGCUUUUUGUGACGGUACCUAGAGAAGAAGCACCGGCUAACUACGUG